Molecule: ribosomal RNA, 467 nt
Filed under: uncultured bacterium
Lineage: Bacteria
Description: partial 16S ribosomal RNA
Rfam family: Bacterial small subunit ribosomal RNA
Source: RNAcentral
GACGAACGCUGGCGGCGUGCUUAACACAUGCAAGUCGAACGGAAAGGCCUCUUUCGGGGGGUACUCGAGUGGCGAACGGGUGAGUAACACGUGAGUAACCUGCCCUUGACUUUGGGAUAACUUCAGGAAACUGGGGCUAAUACCGGAUAGGAGCUCCUGCUGCAUGGUGGGGGUUGGAAAGUUUCGGCGGUUGGGGAUGGACUCGCGGCUUAUCAGCUUGUUGGUGGGGUAGUGGCUUACCAAGGCUUUGACGGGUAGCCGGCCUGGGAGGGUGACCGGCCACAUUGGGACUGAGAUACGGCCCAGACUCCUACGGGAGGCAGCAGUGGGGAAUAUUGCACAAUGGGUGGAGGCCUGAUGCAGCAACGCCGUGUGCGGGAUGACGGCCUUCGGGUUGUGAACCGCUUUCGCUCAUGACGAAGCUUUGUGUGACGGUAGUGGGUAAAGAAGCACCGGCUAACUACGUG